UACGUAGGGGCCUAGCGUUGUCCGGAAUUAUUGGGCGUAAAGAGCUCGUAGGCGGUUCGGCAAGUCGGAUGUGAAAUCUCCACGCUUAACGUGGAGGGGCCAUUCGAAACUGCUGUGACUCGAGUCCGGUAGGGGAGUGUGGAAUUCCCGGUGUAGCGGUGAAAUGCGCAGAUAUCAGGAGGAACACCGGUGGCGAAGGCGGGUCUCUGGGCCUGUACUGACGCUGAGGAGCGAAAGCGUGGGGAGCGAACAGG
Molecule: ribosomal RNA, 254 nt
Filed under: uncultured bacterium
Lineage: Bacteria
Description: partial 16S ribosomal RNA
Rfam family: Bacterial small subunit ribosomal RNA
Source: RNAcentral